GACGAACGCUGGCGGCGUGCCUAAUACAUGCAAGUAGAACGCUGAAGAGAGGAGCUUGCUCUUCUUGGAUGAGUUGCGAACGGGUGAGUAACGCGUAGGUAACCUGCCUGGUAGCGGGGGAUAACUAUUGGAAACGAUAGCUAAUACCGCAUGAAAUUGCUUAUCGCAUGAUAAUUAAUUGAAAGAUGCAAUUGCAUCACUACCAGAUGGACCUGCGUUGUAUUAGCUAGUUGGUGAGGUAACGGCUCACCAAGGCGACGGUACAUAGCCGACCUGAGAGGGUGAUCGGCCACACUGGGACUGAGACACGGCCCAGACUCCUACGGGAGGCAGCAGUAGGGAAUCUUCGGCAAUGGGGGGAACCCUGACCGAGCAACGCCGCGUGAGUGAAGAAGGUUUUCGGAUCGUAAAGCUCUGUUGUAAGAGAAGAACGGGUGUGAGAGUGGAAAGUUCACACUGUGACGGUAUCUUACCAGAAAGGGACGGCUAACUACGUGCCAGCAGCCGCGGUAAUACGUAGGUCCCGAGCGUUGUCCGGAUUUAUUGGGCGUAAAGCGAGCGCAGGCGGUUAGAUAAGUCUGAAGUUAAAGGCUGUGGCUUAACCAUAGUAUGCUUUGGAAACUGUUUAACUUGAGUGCAGAAGGGGAGAGUGGAAUUCCAUGUGUAGCGGUGAAAUGCGUAGAUAUAUGGAGGAACACCGGUGGCGAAAGCGGCUCUCUGGUCUGUAACUGACGCUGAGGCUCGAAAGCGUGGGGAGCAAACAGG
RNAcentral lists this ribosomal RNA (765 nucleotides) under uncultured Streptococcus sp. RNAcentral describes it as "bacterial SSU rRNA". It matches the Rfam family "Bacterial small subunit ribosomal RNA", at positions 28 to 776 of the family's 1533-position model. The record is from RNAcentral. Lineage: Bacteria; Bacillati; Bacillota; Bacilli; Lactobacillales; Streptococcaceae.